RNAcentral lists this ribosomal RNA (386 nucleotides) under uncultured bacterium. RNAcentral describes it as "bacterial SSU rRNA". It matches the Rfam family "Bacterial small subunit ribosomal RNA", at positions 28 to 417 of the family's 1533-position model. The record is from RNAcentral.
GACGAACGCUGGCGGCGUGCUUAACACAUGCAAGUCGAGCGGUAAGGCCCUUUCGGGGGUACACGAGCGGCGAACGGGUGAGUAACACGUGGGUGACCUGCCCUCAGCUCUGGGAUAAGCCUGGGAAACCGGGUCUAAUACCGGAUAUGACUCCAUGACGCAUGUUGUGGGGUGAAAGCCUUGUGCGGCUGAGGAUGGGCCCGCGGCCUAUCAGCUUGUUGGUGGGGUGAUGGCCUACCAAGGCGACGACGGGUAGCCGGCCUGAGAGGCGACCGGCCACACUGGGACUGAGACACGGCCCAGACUCCUACGGGAGGCAGCAGUGGGGAAUCUUGCGCAAUGGGCGAAAGCCUGACGCAGCGACGCCGCGUGAGGGAUGACGGCCU